This 248-nucleotide ribosomal RNA is filed under the name uncultured bacterium. RNAcentral's name for it is "partial small subunit ribosomal RNA". It matches the Rfam family "Bacterial small subunit ribosomal RNA", at positions 26 to 285 of the family's 1533-position model. The record is from RNAcentral.
AGAAUCAACGCUGGCGGCGUGCCUAACACAUGCAAGUCGCACGAGAAAGGGGACUUCGGUCCCUGAGUACAGUGGCGCACGGGUGAGUAACACGUGAAUCAUCUACCUUCGAGUGGGGAAUAAACUGAGAGAAAUCUUAGCUAAUACCGCAUAAUACCUACGGGUCAAAGCAGCAAUGCGCUUGGAGAGGAGUUCGCGGCCGAUUAGUUAGUUGGCGGGGUAAUGGCCCACCAAGACGAUGAUCGGUA